Molecule: ribosomal RNA, 484 nt
Filed under: uncultured bacterium
Lineage: Bacteria
Description: partial 16S ribosomal RNA
Rfam family: Bacterial small subunit ribosomal RNA
Source: RNAcentral
AUUGAACGCUGGCGGCAGGCCUAACACAUGCCAGUCGAGCGGAUGAAGGGAGCUUGCUCCUGGAUUCAGCGGCGGACGGGUGAGUAAUGCCUAGGAAUCUGCCUGGUAGUGGGGGAUAACGUCCGGAAACGGGCGCUAAUACCGCAUACGUCCUGAGGGAGAAAGUGGGGGAUCUUCGGACCUCACGCUAUCAGAUGAGCCUAGGUCGGAUUAGCUAGUUGGUGGGGUAAAGGCCUACCAAGGCGACGAUCCGUAACUGGUCUGAGAGGAUGAUCAGUCACACUGGAACUGAGACACGGUCCAGACUCCUACGGGAGGCAGCAGUGGGGAAUAUUGGACAAUGGGCGAAAGCCUGAUCCAGCCAUGCCGCGUGUGUGAAGAAGGUCUUCGGAUUGUAAAGCACUUUAAGUUGGGAGGAAGGGCUGUAAGUUAAUACCUUGCUGUUUUGACGUUACCAACAGAAUAAGCACCGGCUAACUUCGUG